Long non-coding RNA from Sander lucioperca (pikeperch), 485 nucleotides. RefSeq lists it as uncharacterized. NCBI's taxonomy places the organism in Eukaryota, Metazoa, Chordata, Actinopteri, Perciformes, Percidae. The record is from RefSeq and is a predicted model, not a curated record. The transcript has 3 exons.
AUGACUUUAAUGGUGUUAAUAUAUUAUAACUGGGUUUAUUAAUAUAUUAUAACUGGUUUAAUGACUUUAAUGAUGUUAAUAUAUUAUAACUGGUUUAUUAAUAUAUUAUAACUGGGUUUAAUGACUUUAAUGAUGUUAAUAUAUUAUAACUGGGUUUAUUAAUAUAUUAUAACUGGUUUAAUGACUUUAAUGAUGUUAAUAUAUUAUAACUGGUUUAUUAAUAUAUUAUAACUGGGUUUAAUGACUUUAAUGAUGUUAAUAUAUUAUAACUGGUUUAUUAAUAUAUUAUAACUGGUUUAAUGACUAAUGUUUAGCUGUAGUUAGGGUUGGGCAUCGAGAACCGAUUCCUACUUCCAGUGGAAUCGUUUCUUUAUUGGAAUCGUUUAGGUUUCCGUAGCGACCAGGCUCUUGUUGUGUUGCAGCCGUGGAGCUCAGUAAGCAGCGCUCUAGUCCGGCUUUAUUUUACGCUGGGGAAAAAAGCUUUA